This 482-nucleotide ribosomal RNA is filed under the name uncultured bacterium. RNAcentral's name for it is "bacterial SSU rRNA". It matches the Rfam family "Bacterial small subunit ribosomal RNA", at positions 30 to 506 of the family's 1533-position model. The record is from RNAcentral.
UUGAACGCUGGCGGCAUGCUUUACACAUGCAAGUCGAACGGCAGCGGGGGCUUCGGCCCGCCGGCGAGUGGCGAACGGGUGAGUAAUGCAUCGGAACGUACCCAGUCGUGGGGGAUAACUACGCGAAAGCGUGGCUAAUACCGCAUACGCCCUGAGGGGGAAAGCGGGGGACCUUCGGGCCUCGCGCGAUUGGAGCGGCUGAUGUCGGACUAGCUAGUUGGUGGGGUAAAGGCCUACCAAGGCGACGAUCCGUAGCUGGUCUGAGAGGAUGAUCAGCCACACUGGGACUGAGACACGGCCCAGACUCCUACGGGAGGCAGCAGUGGGGAAUUUUGGACAAUGGGGGCAACCCUGAUCCAGCCAUGCCGCGUGAGUGAAGAAGGCCUUCGGGUUGUAAACUGCUUUUGUACGGAACGAAACGGUUCUCUUUAAUAAAGAGGGCUAAUGACGGUACCGUAAGAAUAAGCACCGGCUAACUACGU